AAAGUCGUAACAAGGUUUCCGUAGGUGAACCUGCGGAAGGAUCAUUAUUGAAAUAAACCUGAUGGGUUGUUGCUGGUUCUCUAGGGAGCAUGUGCACGCCUGGCCAUCUUUAUAUCUCCACCUGUGCACCUUUUGUAGACCUUCCGGGUCUAUGUUGCUUCAUUUACCCCAAUGUAUGUUAAUAGAAUGUUGUGACUAUAUAAAAAUAUACAACUUUCAGCAACGGAUCUCUUGGCUCUC
This 240-nucleotide unclassified non-coding RNA is filed under the name Basidiomycota sp. RNAcentral describes it as "partial contains small subunit ribosomal RNA, internal transcribed spacer 1, and 5.8S ribosomal RNA". The stretch from base 1 to 47 matches the Rfam family "Eukaryotic small subunit ribosomal RNA", at positions 1785 to 1831 of the family's 1831-position model. Lineage: Eukaryota; Fungi; Basidiomycota. The record is from RNAcentral.